GUAGCAUUUAGUUAGGUUUCAUCUUAGUGUUUAUUUGUAAGUAAUUUUAGUUGGUCUACCAUGCUGAUUUAAAAAUUUGUGAAAGUGUGUAUUUCAUUAGUUAGAAGAAAUUAAAGGAUAUUCGAAACGAAAAGGGGUUGUUGACUGAUUGUUAACAUUUAUCACAAUAUAAAGAGAAAUUAAAUAAAAUUUAAAAGAGAAUGCUGUUUUUGGGAUUUUAUCCUAGAAACCAAGAUGUCAAAAAAAUGUCACAAGUGGCAAACUUCAUGUUUUCCACUUUGGCCUGUAUUUAUUUAGUUUAAG
RNAcentral lists this unclassified non-coding RNA (303 nucleotides) under Hevea brasiliensis (rubber tree). Lineage: Eukaryota; Viridiplantae; Streptophyta; Magnoliopsida; Malpighiales; Euphorbiaceae. The record is from RNAcentral.